Molecule: ribosomal RNA, 468 nt
Filed under: uncultured bacterium
Lineage: Bacteria
Description: partial 16S ribosomal RNA
Rfam family: Bacterial small subunit ribosomal RNA
Source: RNAcentral
GACGAACGCUGGUGGCGUGCUUAACACAUGCAAGUCGAACGGAAAGGCCCUGCUUUUGUGGGGUGCUCGAGUGGCGAACGGGUGAGUAACACGUGAGUAACCUGCCCUUGAGUUUGGUAUAACUUAAGGAAACUGGGGCUAAUCCCGCAAAGGAGUUCUUGCUGCAUGGUGGGGGUUGGAAAGUUUCGGCGGUUGGGGAUGGACUCGCGGCUUAUCAGCUUGUUGGUGGGGUAGUGGCUUACCAUGGCUUUGACGGGUAGCAGGGCUGGGAGGGGGACCGGCCACAUUGGGACGGAGAUGCGGCCCAGACUCCUACGGGAGGCAGCAGUGGGGAAUAUUGCACAAUGGGCGGAAGCCUGAUGCAGCAACGCCGCGUGCGGGAUGACGGCCUUCGGGUUGGAAACCGCUUUCGCCUGUGACGAAGCGUGAGUGACGGUAAUGGGUAAAGAAGCACCGGCUAACUACGUG